Molecule: ribosomal RNA, 462 nt
Filed under: uncultured bacterium
Lineage: Bacteria
Description: bacterial SSU rRNA
Rfam family: Bacterial small subunit ribosomal RNA
Source: RNAcentral
GGUACCGGUAACGGGUACGAAACCGAAGGACGUCGUUCGUCCUUCGGGUAGGGGACUACGUAGGUCGGACGAACGGUGAGUAACACGUGGGCAACCUGCCCCAGACUCUGGGAUAACUCCGGGAAACCGGAGCUAAUACCGGAUAUGACUACUUCGGACAUCCGACGGUAGUGGAAAGUUUUUCGGUCUGGGAUGGGCCCGCGGCCUGUCAGCUAGUUGGUGGGGUAAUGGCCUACCAAGGCGACGACGGGUAGCCGGCCUGAGAGGGCGACCGGCCACACUGGAACUGAGACACGGUCCAGACUCCUACGGAAGGCAGCAGUGGGGAAUAUUGCACAAUGGGCGAAAGCCUGAUGCAGCGACGCCGCGUGAGGGACGACGGCCUUCGGGUUGUAAACCUCUUUCAGCAGGGACGAAGCGAAAGUGACUGUACCUGCAGAAGAAGCACCGGCUAACUACGUG